CCUACGGGAGGCAGCAGUCGAGAAUCAUUCACAAUGGGGGAAACCCUGAUGGUGCGACGCCGCGUGGGGGAAUGAAGGUCUUCGGAUUGUAAACCCCUGUCAUGUGGGAGCAAAUUAAAAAGAUAGUACCACAAGAGGAAGAGACGGCUAACUCUGUGCCAGCAGACGCGGGAAUACAGAGGUCUCAAGCGUGGUUCGGAAUCACGGGGCGUAAAGCGUGCGGAGGCUGUUUCGUAAGUCGUGUGUGAAAGGCGCGGGCUCAACCCGCGGACGGCACAUGAUACUGCGAGACUAGAGUAAUGGAGGGGGAACCGGAAUUCUCGGUGUAGCAGUGAAAUGCGUAGAUAUCGAGAGGAACACUCGUGGCGAAGGCGGGUUCCUGGACAUUAACGGACGCUGAGGCACGAAGGCCAGGGGAGCGAAAGGGAUUAGAUACCCCAGUAGUC
Molecule: ribosomal RNA, 446 nt
Filed under: uncultured bacterium
Lineage: Bacteria
Description: partial 16S ribosomal RNA
Rfam family: Bacterial small subunit ribosomal RNA
Source: RNAcentral